Molecule: long non-coding RNA, 1534 nt
Organism: Lontra canadensis (Northern American river otter)
Lineage: Eukaryota; Metazoa; Chordata; Mammalia; Carnivora; Mustelidae
Exons: 3
Source: RefSeq, a predicted model, not a curated record
AAUAAACAAGAGAAAAUACAUAAAAUAUGUCAGAAACUGUCUUAGAAGAAUGGUGUUCAGAGAGGAAAGACUCAGCCUGGAGAAGGGAAAAGUCAACAACAUGAGGAUUCAGGCCUCACCACAAAGCACAAAGUGGCAGAAAGGGAAGGGAGUGUCAGUGAUGGACAUCUGGCAUGGUUUCAACUCUCAGUCCCCAUAAUCAAGGCUAUGACAAGGAUCUUCAUGCACUUUCCCUUAGAGACCAGUGUGAGAAUUUCUCUGCAGGCAUUCCCAGAAAUGUGAUUCCUGGGUCCGAGAUAAGUGCAUUCGACCAAGUAUUGCUGGAUUGCCCUAAACAAUGGGGCUGCCCCCGUCUACACUCUUGCUGCCAUCACACGAUGGUCCUGUAUUCCCUACAACCCUGCCAUGACCUGUCAUCACCCAGCUGUCUAAUUUUUGUCAAGUUGGAUGGGUAUAGUGUCAUAAUUCACCAUAGUUUUUAUUUUAUAUCUCUGAUUAAACAAGUCCCAGCAUUUCUUCAUUUGCUCACCAUUUUGGGUUUCCUCUCGUAUGAACGGACUAUUCAUACUUUUUGAUCUAUUUAUCGAUUAGGUUUUUAAAAAAUUAAUUUGAAAAAAUUCCUUAGGCAUUGUAGAUAUUUGUACCAUGUCAGGCUUAGAUCUUUAAAAUGUAUUUUCCUGAUUUGUCAUUUGCCUUUUGUGUCCAUGAUUUUUUUAUUAAGUGGAAGUCCUUAAUUUUGAUAUAGUCAAGGAAGUGUAACUUUGGAUAGUGUCUUCCUGGGAAGAAGAGGUGGAAGUUUGGGAGUGCGCUUGCAUGUGAAGGGCCAUCUUAUCUAAGGAAAGGUUAAAAAUAAUUGAGAUUUUUUUGGGAAAGGGGUUCAGGGAAGGAAAGAUAAGAUAUAAAUGGUAAGAUAGCUAUUUUUUUCUAAAGGACUGUAAGUCAAAGAACCUUUUUACUUAGUCCAUCCUCAGGUAGAAAGGAUUGCCCUGUGAGAUGAGCUCUUGUUCUCUGAGAUGGCCAAGCACAGGGUGGGUGAAUGCCAGAAUGCCCUUGGCCAAGGCUCUAUCCACUGGAAAAGUCUGGAAACAGUAGUCAACCUGGUAGCAAUGAGUUUCACUAGUACCAGAUUGUAGUCUCUAAAUAUCAUUUCCCGUUAAGAAGACCCAGAGGCCCUUGGAGAAAUGGCAGCUUGUGGUCUAGAGCAAGAUGAACACGGAACAUCUUAUUGCACCAAAAAGCAAGAAAGCCAUCAAACAAUUGGAUAUUAUUCCAAAAGACUCAGGAAUCAUCUGGGAGGGACUACAUCUGGCCAAAGAUAAGGAAAUUUGAUUGUCAAAAAGAUUAAUGACUUCAGCGGUUUGAGAUAUAUCAGUUAUCUUUACAUUUAUAGUUCAUGAUAAUACUAAAUUUCUAAAAUCUCACUGGUCAGCUUUGGAGGGUACCAGGAAACUAUUCAGUAUUUUAAAGGGGCUCCUGGGUGGUUCAGUCGGUUAAACAUCUGACUCUUGGUGUCAGCUCAGGUCGUGAUCUCAUG